Molecule: ribosomal RNA, 468 nt
Filed under: uncultured bacterium
Lineage: Bacteria
Description: partial 16S ribosomal RNA
Rfam family: Bacterial small subunit ribosomal RNA
Source: RNAcentral
GACGAACGCUGGCGGCGUGCUUAACACAUGCAAGUCGAACGGAAAGGCCCUGCUUUUGUGGGGUGCUCGAGUGGCGAACGGGUGAGUAACACGUGAGUAACCUGCCCUUGACUUUGGGAUAACUUCAGGAAACUGGGGCUAAUACCGGAUAGGAGCUCCUGCUGCAUGGUGGGGGUUGGAAAUUUUCGGCGGUUGGGGAUGUACUCGCGGCUUAUCAGCUUGUUGGUGUGGUAGUGGCUUACCAAGGCUUUGACGGGUAGCCGGCCUGAGAGGGUGACAGGCAACAUUGGGACUGAGAUACGGCGCAGAAUCCUACGGGAGGCAGCAGUGGGGAAUAUUGCACAAUGGGAGGAAGCCUGAUGCAGCAACGCCGCGUGCGGGAUGACGGCCUUCGGGUUGUAAACCGCUUGCGCCUGUGACGAAGCGUGAGUGACGGUAAUGGGUAAAGAAGCAACGGCUAACUACGUG